Molecule: long non-coding RNA, 210 nt
Filed under: Lupinus angustifolius (narrow-leaved blue lupine)
Lineage: Eukaryota; Viridiplantae; Streptophyta; Magnoliopsida; Fabales; Fabaceae
Description: long non-coding RNA (LANG_LNC002120)
Source: RNAcentral
UGGGUUUGGUACCGAAUACCUUGUUACUCGGACCCAUAUUUAUUCAGCAGCAAAAUCUUCAGCCUCACUUACUUAUCAAUCCAAAAAACUUGGAUCCAAAUCCAACCUCUAUGAGUAUUAGUCAAGCUCCAAACAAUCGGCUAAAGGUCAGCAGAGAGAGCUGAGAAUGACGUCAUCUCCAGCCAGACUUGAAGAAUGCAUAUGAAAACG